Molecule: transfer RNA, 64 nt
Filed under: Acinetobacter bereziniae
Lineage: Bacteria; Pseudomonadati; Pseudomonadota; Gammaproteobacteria; Moraxellales; Moraxellaceae
Rfam family: tRNA
About the family: Transfer RNA (tRNA) molecules are approximately 80 nucleotides in length. Their secondary structure includes four short double-helical elements and three loops (D, anti-codon, and T loops).
Source: RNAcentral
UUGUUAGCUCAGUUGGUAGAGCAGUAGACUCUUAAUCUAUUGGUCGUGGGUUCGACCCCCACAC